GACGAACGCUGGCGGCGUGCUUAACACAUGCAAGUCGAGCGGUAAGGCUCCUUCGGGGGUACACGAGCGGCGGACGGGAGAGUAACACUUGCGUAAUCUGCCCUUCACUUCGGGAUAACCACCGCAAACGGUGGCUAAUACCGAAUACGCCUAGUCUUCUCAUGCAGUGCUGGUGGGAAUUCUUUUCGGUGUUGGAUGUGCUCGCGGGCUAUCAGCUUUAUGUUGGGCUAAUGGCCUACCAAGGCCUCGACGGGUAGCCGGGCCGAGAGGGUGACCGGCCACACUGGGACUGAAACACGGCCCAGAGGCCGACGGGGGGCAGCAGCGGGGAAGAUUGGAAAAUGGGCGAAAGCCUGAUCCGGCAAUGCCGCGGGAGGGAUGACGGCCUUAGGGUUGUAAACCUGUUGCAGGACCGACGAAGCGCACUGUCGGGUGGUGACGGUAGAUACAGAAGAAGGACCGGCCAACUACGUG
This 474-nucleotide ribosomal RNA is filed under the name uncultured bacterium. RNAcentral describes it as "partial 16S ribosomal RNA". It matches the Rfam family "Bacterial small subunit ribosomal RNA", at positions 28 to 507 of the family's 1533-position model. The record is from RNAcentral.